CAACCUAAAAAGUAUUGUUUAUAAGAUCAAACUGAGAAAUCUCUAAUUAGAAUGAUCAGAUACAAAAGAGAGAAGAUCAGUAUUUGGAAUGAGAAAGAUUAUUACUUUAGAUCUUACAAAGGCAUAAAAAUAAUAAAGAGAUGCUACAAAGACUAUGCCAACAAACUUAGUAAGUUUGGAAGAUACAAAGUAUCAAAGUUUGUUCCAGAAACAAACAUAAGUAUCAGAGUUUCUUGAAAGAUAUAAAGUAUCUAAAUUUAAGAAACAAAUACAUUAGCUAAAUAAUACUAUCUAUCAAAUAAGUUUGAUUUGUCCUAACAACUUUCCUUCAAAGAAAACUGAAAGUCCAGAUGGAUUCACUGGUGAAUUAUACCAAACAUUUAAGGAAGGCAUACUCUCUGUUGUGUUUAGGCUGUUCUAAAAUGCUGAAGAGAGAGAAUUCUUUCCAGUUCAUUAUAUGAAAUCAGAAUUACUCUGAAACUGAACCAAAGACAUGGAGACAACGGUCUGCCGUCU
Molecule: long non-coding RNA, 516 nt
Filed under: Marmota monax (woodchuck)
Lineage: Eukaryota; Metazoa; Chordata; Mammalia; Rodentia; Sciuridae
Source: RNAcentral